Molecule: ribosomal RNA, 253 nt
Filed under: uncultured bacterium
Lineage: Bacteria
Description: partial 16S ribosomal RNA
Rfam family: Bacterial small subunit ribosomal RNA
Source: RNAcentral
UACAGGGGGUGCAAGCGUUGCUCGGAAUUACUGGGCGUAAAGCGUGCGCAGGCGGCUUGACAAGUCGGGGGUGAAAACCCGGGGCUCAACCCCGGAAUUGCCUCCGAAACUGUUAGGCUUGAAUACGAGAGAGGGUCGCGGAAUUCUUGGUGUAGAGGUGAAAUUCGUAGAUAUCAGGAAGAACACCAGUGGCGAAAGCGGCGACCUGGCUCGAUAUUGACGCUCAUGCACGAAAGCGUGGGGAGCAAACAGG